AUUAAACGCUGGCGGCAUGCCUUACACAUGCAAGUCGAACGGCAGCACGGGGGGAACCCUGGUGGCGAGUGGCGAACGGGUGAGUAAAGCAUCGGAACGUGCCCUGGAGUGGGGGAUAACGUAGCGAAAGUUACGCUAAUACCGCAUAUUCUGUGAGCAGGAAAGCAGGGGAUCGCAAGACCUUGCGCUCUGGGAGCGGCCGAUGUCGGAUUAGCUAGUUGGUGGGGUAAAGGCCUACCAAGGCGACGAUCCGUAGCGGGUCUGAGAGGAUGAUCCGCCACACUGGGACUGAGACACGGCCCAGACUCCUACGGGAGGCAGCAGUGGGGAAUUUUUGGACAAUGGGCGAAAGCCUGAUCCAGCCAUGCCGCGUGAGUGAAGAAGGCCUCGGUUGUAAGACUCUUCGUGGAGAAU
Molecule: ribosomal RNA, 414 nt
Filed under: uncultured bacterium
Lineage: Bacteria
Description: bacterial SSU rRNA
Rfam family: Bacterial small subunit ribosomal RNA
Source: RNAcentral